RNAcentral lists this ribosomal RNA (1186 nucleotides) under Campylobacter hyointestinalis subsp. lawsonii. RNAcentral describes it as "bacterial LSU rRNA". It matches the Rfam family "Bacterial large subunit ribosomal RNA", at positions 1 to 1203 of the family's 2925-position model. Lineage: Bacteria; Pseudomonadati; Campylobacterota; Epsilonproteobacteria; Campylobacterales; Campylobacteraceae. The record is from RNAcentral.
AAAAAAGGUAAGCUACUAAGAGCAAAUGGUGGAUGCCUUGGCUAGUAGAGGCGAUGAAAGACGUGCUAGGCUGCGAUAAGUCUCGGGGAGCCGUCAAGGGGCUUUGAUCCGGGAAUUUCUGAAUGGGGCAACCCAGUAUAUAGUGAUAUAUACUACCGCAAUGCGGAGCGAACGUUGGGAAUUGAAACAUCUUAGUACCAACAGGAAAAGAAAUCAAACGAGAUUACGCUAGUAGCGGCGAGCGAAAGCGUAAGAGGGCAAACCACUAGCUUGCUAGUGGGGUUGUAGGACUGCAAUAUAGACUUAAACAAUCUAAUAGAAUAAGCUGGAAAGCUUAAGCAUAGAGGGUGAUACUCCCGUAUAUGAAAGUGCGUUUAUACUUAGCAGUAUCCUGAGUAGGGCGGGACACGUGUAAUCCUGUCUGAAGCUGGGUAGACCACUAUCCAACCCUAAAUACUACUACUAGACCGAUAGUGCACAAGUACCGUGAGGGAAAGGUGAAAAGAACUGAGGUGAUCAGAGUGAAAUAGAACCUGAAACCAUUUGCUUACAAUCAUUCAGAGCCCUAUGAUUUAUCAGGGUGAUGGACUGCCUUUUGCAUAAUGAGCCUGCGAGUUGUGGUGUCUGGCAAGGUUAAGGAAACCCGGAGCCGUAGCGAAAGCGAGUCUUAAUAGGGCGUAUAGUCAGAUGCUGCAGACCCGAAACGAUGUGAUCUAUCCAUGAGCAGGUUGAAACCGGUGUAAGAGCCGGUGGAGGACCGAACAGACGGCCGUUGAAAAGGCUCCUGAUGACUUGUGGAUAGGGGUGAAAGGCCAAUCAAACAUCGUGAUAGCUGGUUCUCUCCGAAAUAUAUUUAGGUAUAGCGUUGUGUAGUAACUUUGUGAGGUAGAGCACUGAAUGGGCUAGGGCAUACACCAAUGUACCAAACCCUAUCAAACUCCGAAUGCGCAAAGUGUAAUCACAGCAGUCAGGCGGCGAGUGAUAAAAUCCGUCGUCAAGAGGGGAACAACCCAGACUAACAGCUAAGGUCCCUAAAUCUCAUUUAAGUGGAAAACGAUGUGAAGUUACUUUAACAACCAGGAGGUUGGCUUAGAAGCAGCCAUCCUUUAAAGAAAGCGUAAUAGCUCACUGGUCUAGUGAUUUCGCGCGGAAAAUAUAACGGGGCUAAAAUGAGUACCGAAGCUUU